AUUACUAGCAACUCCAGCUUCAUGUAGGCGAGUUUCAGCCUACAAUCCGAACUGAGACAAGUUUUUGAGUUUUGCUCCACCUCGCGGUAUUGCUUCUCUUUGUACUUGCCAUUGUAGCACGUGUGUAGCCCUAGACAUAAGGGGCAUGAUGAUUUGACGUCAUCCCCACCUUCCUCCCGGUUAACCCGGGCAGUCUCGCUAGAGUGCUCAACUAAAUGGUAGCAACUAACAAUAAGGGUUGCGCUCGUUGCGGGACUUAACCCAACAUCUCACGACACGAGCUGACGACAACCAUGCACCACCUGUCUUCCUGUUCCCGAAGGAACUUCCCCGAUUAAGGGUAAUGCAGGAGAUGUCAAGUCUAGGUAAGGUUCUUCGCGUUGCUUCGAAUUAAACCACAUGCUCCGCUGCUUGUGCGGGCCCCCGUCAAUUCCUUUGAGUUUUAAUCUUGCGACCGUACUCCCCAGG
Molecule: ribosomal RNA, 468 nt
Filed under: uncultured bacterium
Lineage: Bacteria
Description: partial 16S ribosomal RNA
Source: RNAcentral